UAAUAAAAUAAUGUAAUUUAUCAUUAUAAGAUAUAUUUUUAUAGUUUUGAGGUAUUAAAAAUUUUCAUUUUUUUAAUUAUAUAACACCAAAAUGGCAAAACUUACUCAACCCGAUUUGCUUGACAUCACCUACUAAAAAUCAUUGCGUACACAAUUCAAUAUAUCUCCUAACAUUUUUGAAGGUAUUGAUAUAACUCUAGAAAUUAUAAUUGAAAUUUUUUGACGAGAGUUUGCUAGCGUGUAAGUACAUCUUUAUUUAUAUGAUAACAAAUAUAAAUAUAUAACAUAAUAUUGUAAUUUCACCCCAAAAAAAAAGAAAAUAUAUUGUUAAUAACACCUAUCA
This 343-nucleotide long non-coding RNA is filed under the name Brassica napus (rape). RNAcentral's name for it is "long non-coding RNA (BNAP_LNC000498)". The record is from RNAcentral. Lineage: Eukaryota; Viridiplantae; Streptophyta; Magnoliopsida; Brassicales; Brassicaceae.